GACGAACGCUGGCGGCGUGCCUAAUACAUGCAAGUCGAGCGCUGAAGGAUGGUACUUGUACCAACUGGAUGAGCAGCGAACGGGUGAGUAACGCGUGGGGAAUCUGCCUUUUAGCGGGGGACAACAUUUGGAGACGAAUGCUAAUACCGCAUAAAAACUUUAAACACAGGUUUUAAGUGUGAAAGAUGCCAUUGCAUCACUCAAAGAUGAUCCCGCGUUGUAAUAGCUAGGUGGUGAGGUAAAGGCCCACCCAGGCGAUGAUACAUAGCCGGCGUGGGAGGGAGGUUGGCCAAAUUGGGACUGAGACCAGGCCCAAAAUCCUUACGGAGGGAGCAGGAGGGAAACUUUGGAAAUGGACGGAAGUCUGACCGAGCAAAGCCGGGUGAGUGAAGAAAGGUUUCGGAUCGUAAAACUCUGUUGGUAGAGAAGAAAGUUGGUGAGAGUGGAAAGCUCAUCAAGUGACGGUAACUACACAGAAAGCAACGGCUAACUACGUG
RNAcentral lists this ribosomal RNA (497 nucleotides) under uncultured bacterium. Its description in RNAcentral is "partial 16S ribosomal RNA". It matches the Rfam family "Bacterial small subunit ribosomal RNA", at positions 28 to 507 of the family's 1533-position model. The record is from RNAcentral.